AGAGUUUGAUCCUGGCUCAGGACGAACGCUGGCGGCGUGCUUAACACAUGCAAGUCGUACGAGAAGCCCCGCUUCGGCGGGGGGGACAGUGGCGAACGGGUGAGUAACACGUAGGUAAUCUGCCCUCGAGUGGGGGAUAAUUCCGGGAAACUGGUUGUAAUACCGCAUAAUAUCCCGACCUGGCAUCUGGUUGGGAUCAAAGGUUUCGACCGCUUGAGGAUGAGCCUACGUCCCAUUAGCUAGUUGGUGAGGUAACGGCUCACCAAGGCGACGAUGGGUAGCUGGUCUGAGAGGACGAUCAGCCACACUGGGACUGAGAUACGGCCCAGACUCCUACGGGAGGCAGCAGUGAGGAAUAUUGCGCAAUGGACGAAAGUCUGACGCAGCAACGCCGCGUGGGCGAUGAAGCUCUUAUGAGUGUAAAGCCCUGUUAGGAGGGACGAACAAUCUCGAUUCGUCGGGACCUGACG
RNAcentral lists this ribosomal RNA (470 nucleotides) under uncultured bacterium. RNAcentral describes it as "bacterial SSU rRNA". It matches the Rfam family "Bacterial small subunit ribosomal RNA", at positions 8 to 474 of the family's 1533-position model. The record is from RNAcentral.